This 500-nucleotide ribosomal RNA is filed under the name uncultured bacterium. RNAcentral's name for it is "partial 16S ribosomal RNA". It matches the Rfam family "Bacterial small subunit ribosomal RNA", at positions 30 to 523 of the family's 1533-position model. The record is from RNAcentral.
AUUGAACGCUGGCGGCAGGCCUAACACAUGCAAGUCGAGCGGAUGACGGGAGCUUGCUCCUUGAUUCAGCGGCGGACGGGUGAGUAAUGCCUAGGAAUCUGCCUGGUAGUGGGGGACAACGUUUCGAAAGGAACGCUAAUACCGCAUACGUCCUACGGGAGAAAGCAGGGGACCUUCGGGCCUUGCGCUAUCAGAUGAGCCUAGGUCGGAUUAGCUAGUUGGUGAGGUAAUGGCUCACCAAGGCGACGAUCCGUAACUGGUCUGAGAGGAUGAUCAGCCACACUGGAACUGAGACACGGUCCAGACUCCUACGGGAGGCAGCAGUGGGGAAUAUUGGACAAUGGGCGCAAGCCUGAUCCAGCCAUGCCGCGUGUGUGAAGAAGGCCUUCGGGUUGUAAAGCACUUUCAGCGGGGAGGAAGGGUGGUGUGUUAAUAGCACAUCAUUUUGACGUUACUCGCAGAAGAAGCACCGGCUGACUCUGUGCCAGCAGCCGCGGUAA